UGCAGUCGAGCGGUAGCACAGGAGAGCUUGCUCUCUGGGUGACGAGCGGCGGACGGGUGAGUAAUGUCUGGGAAACUGCCCGAUGGAGGGGGAUAACUACUGGAAACGGUAGCUAAUACCGCAUAACGUCUUCGGACCAAAGAGGGGGACCUUCGGGCCUCUUGCCAUCGGAUGUGCCCAGAUGGGAUUAGCUAGUAGGUGGGGUAAUGGCUCACCUAGGCGACGAUCCCUAGCUGGUCUGAGAGGAUGACCAGCCACACUGGAACUGAGACACGGUCCAGACUCCUACGGGAGGCAGCAGUGGGGAAUAUUGCACAAUGGGCGCAAGCCUGAUGCAGCCAUGCCGCGUGUAUGAAGAAGGCCUUCGGGUUGUAAAGUACUUUCAGCGAGGAGGAAGGCGUUGUGGUUAAUAACCGCAGCGAUUGACGUUACUCGCAGAAGAAGCACCGGCUAACUCCGUGCCAGCAGCCGCGGUAAUACGGAGGGUGCAAGCGUUAAUCGGAAUUACUGGGCGUAAAGCGCACGCAGGCGGUCUGUCAAGUCGGAUGUGAAAUCCCCGGGCUCAACCUGGGAACUGCAUUCGAAACUGGCAGGCUAGAGUCUUGUAGAGGGGGGUAGAAUUCCAGGUGUAGCGGUGAAAUGCGUAGAGAUCUGGAGGAAUACCGGUGGCGAAGGCGGCCCCCUGGACAAAGACUGACGCUCAGGUGCG
Molecule: ribosomal RNA, 709 nt
Filed under: Enterobacter sp. MYb176
Lineage: Bacteria; Pseudomonadati; Pseudomonadota; Gammaproteobacteria; Enterobacterales; Enterobacteriaceae
Description: bacterial SSU rRNA
Rfam family: Bacterial small subunit ribosomal RNA
Source: RNAcentral